Macaca mulatta (Rhesus monkey) is the source of this 5305-nucleotide non-coding RNA. Lineage: Eukaryota; Metazoa; Chordata; Mammalia; Primates; Cercopithecidae. The record is from RefSeq and is a predicted model, not a curated record.
GCUUCGCACCUAUCUCUAAGGCGAGCUCAUCCAAGUAGUCAACAUAAUUGGUCUGCAACGUCUGGCUCUGGCUUUCUCCAAACCUUAGUGAAGAAAGUAAAAAGGGAAUAUUCACAAAAUGUUCUCAGUUUUCUAGAAUAUUAGGCAUUCAAAACUGCUAAAGGAAUGAAGGAAUGAGUGAAUACAUGAAUGAGUUUUGAAUGAAUCUCUGGUGGAAAGUAUGAGUUUAUUGUUCCAGGAGGCUCAUAUCUCAGAUUGAGAAUAGGCCCUCAAAGAGCCAUGAAUUCAUGGAUGCUCUAGAAAUGUGACAAGAUGAUCACCAUUGUUUGGCAUUUUUUAAGCAGUGGCAAAUCUCCAGGCAAGUACAUACUAGUCAGGAUGGCGGCAGGGAUUCAUGAGAUAAUGCGUAUGAAAGCAUAGCUUGGUGUCUUGCUCACAGGAGAUGCUUAAUAUUUGCUUGUUAAAUUACUAAAGUACCUGGCAGUCUGGAUGACAUAUAGUAGAUAAUCAAUGUUAGGUAAAAUUGAAUGUGAACAAGAGAAAACUCCCUACACCUGAUGUGAACCCCAAAUCAACUUUCCAAGGGUACUCGAUCACUGUUGAACCUCAUUUUACCUCAUCAUAAAGUACAAAUCCUUGAACGUUCACACCAACCCCUUACUAAUUUAUUUUGAUGGGGAUUCUCCAGCUAACUUUUCACAGCUAUUCAAGCUACUAUCACCACCGUCUCAUCCCAUUCCCUCUCUAACCACGGAGUGUAGGUGGCUUGAGAAGUUACGGAAUCUGACAUGGGCAUCAUAUAGAACUGAGAUGAAAUUAAGCCAAGGAGAAGUGCUCUGAUUUGGUACAAUUCUUAUCUUUAAGUAUUUGGUUCUUAACCUAGUAUGUAUAAGAAUCGCUUAGGGAAAAGAUAAAAAUGCAAUUUUUAGCCUCACACACAGAGUUUCUGAUUCAAUCAUCUGGGCUCUAGCCCAGAAAUUUGCAUUUUAUCAGGCAUCUAGGUGGUUCUUGUAAGUAGCUAGAUCACUGUACUUCAAGAAACACUGCUUCAUUUAAAGAAUUAAAAAAUAUUCUUACAGGUCAAUUCUUUUUUCAUUCCUUUUGAUAAUGUCCAUCAUCAUAGUUCUCUCUGAGGGCAGGUGACACAAGCCUAAGGAAUAAAAGGUUGGUUUGAAUAGUAAGUUUGAGUCAAUAUCAUUACUUUAUCUAGUUAUUGAUUCUUAAAAUUAAACUCUGGCCAUUGAACCAUGUCAUACCAGUCAGGGCUUCUGUGCUGUUGAACUUCAUGGGGUGCCACUCCCAUAGCACUCCAUGUGACGCUGUCCAGGGAGCACAGUCUAUGGCAUGGACUACAAGAUGGAGAGGGCCAAGAGAAGAGGCUGGAAAAGGGAAGCAUGUCUGGAAGCCUGGCAGCCAUGACUAGCAGUUUGGCCUCUAUCCUAAAGGUGAUAGGAGGCUGUGGAAGUUUUCUGCAUGAAGUGAGAAGAUCAGAUUUAUUUUUUGGAAAGAUCUGUCUGGCUGCUGAAUUUAGGAAAAUGGACUCCAGGGAUGCAAGCCCAAAGUUGGGGAGACCGGUAAAGAGGCUGUUGAAAUAAACCUGGUGAGAGAUGAGAGUCGGGCAGUAGAGAUAGGGAAAGAUUGAUGCAGGAGUUAUUAUUGUGAGUUCAUGAUUACAUUGCCUGCCCACAAAUGUCCCCUGAGCUUUGAAUGUGUUGAAAUAUGGUCAAGUCCCCUUGCCUAGAGUCAUCAGACAUCUGAUACUCAAGCAGUCCAGGCCUAAGUUCCUCACUGAAGCCCUCCUGUCCAGACUUGCAUCAUUUUCUGCACACCCCCUUUUAUUUACAGCACUACUGUCUACCUGGUUUCCAAUGCCGGAGAUCUGUAAGUCCUCCUUGAUUCCUCUCUAUUUCCCUGACUUUCCCACACUGAACCAAUCAUAAUGUCCUGCUGAUUUUUCCCUCAAUGCUUUCUCACACUUAUGGCUUCCUUUCCACUUUGUAUCUCUGCCCUGGCCCAGGAUGCAUCAUAUUUUAGCAUAAGUUACUUCAGUAACUUUCUCUUUCAUCUGUGAGGCUGUAGUCUUUCCCCACUUUCAAAUCUAUAUUCCACACUACUGCUGAAACAAUCUAUCCAAAGUGUAAAUCUGCUAAUGCCUGUUCCUUGCUUAUAACCCUCCAUUGGUGCCCCGGGCUGAAGAGCUUUCUAAAAUGCAUAUUCCAGGUCCCUUGGCCAGUCUUACUUAAUCAGGGUCCCUAAGGAUCCAUCAGAUGAUUUUCAUGUGUAGCCAUAUUUGGGAAGAACUGAUCUAUAAUUUAUAAUCUAAGCGCCAUAGCAUGUCUUACAAAAUUCCUGUGUUCUGUCUCCUUCUCCAAGAGUAAUCUCUUUUCUCUCUCUGCCUCAUAUGUCAUGCUCUAGGAAUGUCAAAUAUAAUGUGCCUUUCCAUAUGUAUCAUUGCCUCUAUGCUUUGUUCAGGCAAUCCCCUUUUCUGCCCCUGAAAAAAUGCAGUUAUCCAGGACGUUUUCCUUUAUCAUGUGCCCUCUCCUUUUUCUACCGUGAUAAGUGCCCUUUCUCUCCUUCCCUGAGCACUCCAUAUAUUACUCAAUCAAAGCAUUUGUCGUAUUAUGUUGAAAUGGUCUGUUUAAAUUUCUCUCAGUCCCACCAGUUCACAGCGCAGGGCUAGGUAUUCAGUAAUACCUAGCUGAACAGAAUUGAACGCUGGAGGCAGGGAGAUAACACUGUUCUGAGGAGUAUGAAGUGCUACACAGGCACUCAGAAAUAAACCUUUUAAUAAUUUUAUAACUUGUAGGGAUUUGUGAAGUUGAGCUACUCAGGUAUUAAGAGUUAAAUUGAUCUGCACAUAUGCUGAGGACGUUUUAAACACCACAUAGGUAACACCAGGAGACACAGAUGUUUUUCUUAAACUUAUUCUCUCACGAUUCAAAUAAAAGUUAACAUGCACUUAGCUUUAUGCCAGUUGAAAUUCUCUUGACAGUCUAAUAGUUUAAAGGGAUGAUUGCAGGUAUUUAUUAUGACCAGAUUCCUGUAUUUGUUAUUCUUUGAAUUCUCCAGUAACUUUUUAGAAAGCUAAUCUUGUGAGAGCAGCCAAGGUUGUCAAACUUUUUCUUGGCAACCUUUUUAUCUCAGGCAACAUUCUUAUCAUUAUUGAUAAACUUCACCAGAUCUGAAACACUUAGCCACUCCCCUGCCCACACACUUACCUUUGAAAACUCUUGUCACCCAACGAGCUUGAAGUUCAGCAGUUGGGAAAAUGGAACCUAGGGGCUGGAUGAGACCAAUGCAUGCAAAGGUUGACUUCUCCAGGUGAGCUGGGAAUAUGUACUUAUACAGUGAGACCAUAUUAUUCUCUACUUUAACAAGUGAAUCUUCAAGGAAGGGAAAAGAGAAACUAUAUCCUGUUGCAAAAAUGAUGACAUCAAUGUUCUCCUCCACUGUUCCAUCCUCAAAAAUGGCAGAAGUUUCUGUGAGCUCUUUCACUGUAGAUUUCACCUUGAUGGCUCCACAGAGUAGACGACUUGGGACAUCAUCAUUUAGUACAGGUUCCUUCAUAAUGUAUCUGAGACAUACAGAAGAAAAACAUUCUGAAGGAUCAUUUCCUGAGGAAUCUUGAACCCUCUUGACAUUUUUGGGGUAUGGCUCUGAAAAUAAAACAGCUUUUCAAAUAUCUGUAAAACUUUAACUUAACUGGUUGUCUGUGCCAGUCCUUAUUUUCUGACUUAAUUCUCAUGUCACAAAUACCUCCCAUCAAUAAAUAAGGGAAAACAUGUAGGCGAUGUGAGUGAAAGAGAUUUUAAAGAAGGAAGCAUCCCCUAGGGCUUAGACAAAAUCCCUGAGUAUUAUGGUGGUUAUUAUACCAUUUCUGUUUUUAACCUUUGUCAUGCUAUCUAGCUUUUAUUAUUUUGCUGUUUUAUUUAACUCCUAUUUGAUCAUAAGUAAGGAAGAAAAAAUUUGCUAAAUUCCUACUACUUUUGAAACCUAUGAAGGGAUCAAUGUGAAAAUUAAUGUAUAAAAUUAGGUUUGGUGAUAUUUGUUAGUCCCAAAUAUCCAUGGAGUCUCUGUUAGUAAUAACAUGGAUGUUGAUGCAAAGUCUGCUUAUAUUUUUUUGUAGAUUUGAGAACAUUUUCUUUUUCUUUUUUUAAUAGACAAUACAUGGCACUUAUGUCCGAUCUUAGAAUAUGGUAGUUACAUGGCAGGCAUUUGUUAAAAGAUUCUGAAGCUCUUCUGUUUUUUAAGGGAAGAAACCUGUAACAACUAAAGCAAAAGAACCAUUCAUAACAUUUGCUUGUGCUUAAAUCACUGACAUAUAACUGACAUCAACAGAGAUGUGUCUUUUAGCAAAGAAAAAGGAAUGUGUUUCAAGGUUGCCCAUGGGAAGAACCUUCAUGGUAUAGGGUUAGCAAAGCAUAAAUUAUUAGAUGGAGAAUUACGUGUUUCCCACCACACCCCUCUGAAAGGCAGGUCAUAGUCUCUUGAAACAGUUUUCUCCAAUGUUAGAUAACUCUGGGCAUUAGAAAGUUCUCCCCUAGUUUUGCUUUCUGGAGCAGCUUGUAACACUUUUGCUUCAUCUUCUUAAGUGUUUUUUAAAGGUAUACAGAACAAAUUUAGAAUCCAAACUCCAGGACCUAUAAGGUACUCAUAUUGUUAGAUUGUAGUUUGAAAUACUGCGUUAGCAAUUUGAAUCUUUGUUAAAGGAGACACCUUCAGACAACUUUGCUCACCAACGAGUAUACCAUUAAAGCAAAAUAACUCUACUUGUUUUGAGGCUCAAGGCCAUAAUUUUCAUGGUUGAACCACCGAUUCAUCUGUUGUUCUAUCAUCCAUUUUACAACUGUUCGUGGCAGUACAUUGCGGAGCAUAGAACGAAACCGGGUGUGGAACACCGAGUCCCAAGGAUAACCAUCUUCAGAGACACGACUCAUGACCCAGGUGCCAUGCCUGGUGCUGAUAAAAACCUGGCAAGCAAAAAGAAAUGCAGUUUAAAUUAGGGCAUUGUCCCAUUUAGGAGGAAUCUACUACGAAGGUACAUGGUAAGCAGAGAGCAUCGCACCUGAGCAGCACUCUUACUCAGCUCAACAGCAAUAUCGGAGCCCGAGUUUCCCAUUCCGAUCACCAGGAUGCGUUUUCCCUCAAAUCCAUCUGGAUGCUUGUAUUGGCGGCUAUGGAAAUAUUGGCCUUUGAACCUCUCGAUACCUUCAGGGGGAAGAAGAGAGAAGUCUGAGCUCCAGAGCAACUAUGUCAAGCUGAUUUCAAUAAAACUGCAUUGUCAGCUUUUCCUUUCUGCAGUCAA